CCUACGGGUGGCAGCAGUGGGGAAUAUUGGUCAAUGGGCGCAAGCCUGACCCAGCAACGCCGCGUGAAGGAAGAAGGCUUUCUGGUUUUAAACUUCUUUUCUCAGGGACGAAGCAAGUGACGGUACCUGAGGAAUAAGCCACUGCUAACUACGUGCCAGCAGCCGCGGUAAUACGUAGGUGGCAAGCGUUAUCCGGAUUUACUGGGUGUAAAGGGCGUGUAGGCGGGAAAGCAAGUCAGAUGUGAAAACCAUGGGCUCAACCUGUGGACUGCAUUUGAAACUGUUUUUCUUGUGUACUGGGGAGGCAGACGGAAUUCCUAGUGUAGCGGUGAAAUGCGUAGAUAGUAGGAGGAACACCAGUGGCGAAGGCGGUCUGCUGGACAGCAACUGACGCUGAGGCGCGAAAGCGUGGGGAGCAAACAGGAUUAGAUACCCUUGUAGUC
This 443-nucleotide ribosomal RNA is filed under the name uncultured bacterium. RNAcentral describes it as "partial 16S ribosomal RNA". It matches the Rfam family "Bacterial small subunit ribosomal RNA", at positions 338 to 795 of the family's 1533-position model. The record is from RNAcentral.